This 119-nucleotide ribosomal RNA is filed under the name Pteropus alecto (black flying fox). Lineage: Eukaryota; Metazoa; Chordata; Mammalia; Chiroptera; Pteropodidae. The record is from RNAcentral.
GUCUACAGCCACGCCACCCUGAACAAGCCCGAUCCCGUCUGAUCUCAGAAGCUAAGCAGGGUCGGGCCUGGUUAGUACUUGGAUGGGAGACCACCUAGGAAGACCAGGUGCUGGAGGCG